AUGGCCGGUUCACAUCAGCUGCUUCGUUCUGAGAAAAAGAAAAUGGCGAAGAUGGUAUGUCGUCAUCAGAAUGGCAAGGGAAGCUAUGGCAAGCAUUGCUACAUGAUGUGGCGGACGAUGUUUGAGAUCGACACAAAGUACGUGCCGAUCGAGCCCAUCGGAAGAGGAUCUUACGGGAUAGUUUGCUCAUCGAUGAACAAGAAUACAAACGAGAUGGUUGCCAUAAAAAAGAUAAACAAUGUCUUUGACAACCACGUGGAUGCGUUGAGAACGCUGCAGGAGAUGAAGCUCCUUCGACACUUGCGUCAUGAGAAUGUCAUUGCUUUGAAGGAUAUAAUGAUGCCAAUACAUAGGAGGAGCUUCAAAGAUGUCUACUUGGUGUCCGAACUGAUGGACACGGAUCUGGAUCGGAUCAUCAACUCAUCUCAAACGCUUAUGACUGAGCACUGCCAAUAUUUCCUUUUUCAGCUGCUCCGAGGCCUGAAGUAUCUUCAUUCAACUGGGAUACUCCAUAGAGACCUGAAACCACUCAACCUUCUAGUUAAUGGAAACUGUGACCUGAAGAUUUGUGACUUUGGUCUUGCCCGAACAAUUAACACUGAAGGUCAGUGUUUGACUGAACAUGUUGUCACCCGAUGGUAUAGAGCUCCAGAGCUGCUGCUCUCUAGCGACAACUAUGGCACCUCCAUAGAUGUGUGGUCAGUUGGCUGCAUCUUUGCUGAGCUUCUUGGCCGCAAGCCAAUCUUUCCUGGAACCAACAGCCUAAAUCAGCUUCAGCUUAUAGUCAAUGUUCUUGGCACCAUGAACGAUGCUGACCUUGAGUUCAUUGAUAAAUCAAGAUCUCGCAAUUACGUCAACUCCCUUUCAUACACCCCUGGGAUUCCCCUCACCAAAAUGUACCCACAAGCGCACCCUCUUGCCAUUGAUCUGUUGCAGAAGAUGUUGGUCUUUGAUCCUUCCAAAAGGAGUAAAUAG
RNAcentral lists this ribosomal RNA (975 nucleotides) under Triticum aestivum (bread wheat). Its description in RNAcentral is "partial small subunit ribosomal RNA". Lineage: Eukaryota; Viridiplantae; Streptophyta; Magnoliopsida; Poales; Poaceae. The record is from RNAcentral.